AAAGAGAGAAAAGUUGGAGGGAUGCAGGGCAGCACUGAGGGUAGAAAGGACUGAGCAGUGCCUUGGACCCGACCCCACUACCCACAGCUCACUGGAUUCUGGGAAGUGCUCCUGCCUGAGAGGAAACUCAGUUCAGAAGGAGGAAGGACAGCAGAGGCCAGCUGCCUUGUUGGAGUUGAAGGUCUUCUCCUCAGAGCAAGAACAUGACAGUGAGAAGACAGAUGGAGGCAUCCUCUGUGUUUCCCUUCAAGGGGUGUACCCCCUGCCAAGGGUUCCUCCUCACAGGUCAACAUUGAAUCGGUGCCAUUCAAUGUGGUUGAAGGGGAAAACGUCCUUCUUCUUGUCCACAAUCUGCCAGAGAAUCUCAUAGCCUUUGCCUGGUAUAGAGGGCUGAGGAAAAUUGGAGUAUACAUACUGAACACUGAAGUAAGUGUGACGGGGCC
Molecule: long non-coding RNA, 443 nt
Filed under: Rattus norvegicus (Norway rat)
Lineage: Eukaryota; Metazoa; Chordata; Mammalia; Rodentia; Muridae
Description: long non-coding RNA NONRATT000402
Source: RNAcentral